Molecule: ribosomal RNA, 494 nt
Filed under: uncultured bacterium
Lineage: Bacteria
Description: partial 16S ribosomal RNA
Rfam family: Bacterial small subunit ribosomal RNA
Source: RNAcentral
GACGAACGCUGGCGGCGUGCUUAACACAUGCAAGUCGAACGGUGAAGCGCCUUCCUUUUUGGUGGGUGUGGAUGAGUGGCGAACGGGUGAGUAACACGUGAGUAACCUGCCCCCUUCUUCUGGAUAACCGCAUGAAAGUGUGGCUAAUACGGGAUAUUCUGGGUCUGUCGCAUGAUGGGUCUGGGAAAGAUAUUGUUUCGGUGGGGGAUGGGCUCGCGGCCUAUCAGCUUGUUGGUGGGGUGAUGGCCUACCAAGGCGGUGACGGGUAGCCGGCCUGAGAGGGUGGGCGGUCACAGUGGGACUGAGACACGGCGCAGACUCCGACGGGAGGCAGCAGUGGGGAAUAUUGCACAAUGGGCGCAAGCCUGAUGCAGCGACGCCGCGUGAGGGAUGGAGGCCUGCGGGUUGUGAACCUCUUUCGCCAGUGAAGCAGGCCUGCCUCGUUUGUGGGUGGGUUGACGGUAGCUGGAUAAGAAGCGCCGGCUAACUACGUG